RNAcentral lists this ribosomal RNA (251 nucleotides) under uncultured bacterium. Its description in RNAcentral is "partial 16S ribosomal RNA". It matches the Rfam family "Bacterial small subunit ribosomal RNA", at positions 524 to 776 of the family's 1533-position model. The record is from RNAcentral.
UACGUAGGGUGCGAGCGUUGUCCGGAAUUAUUGGGCGUAAAGAGCUUGUAGGCGGUCUGUCGCGUCUGCUGUGAAAAUCCGGGGCUCAACCCCGGACUUGCGGUGGGUACGGGCAGACUAGAGUGUGGUAGGGGAGACUGGAAUUCCUGGUGUAGCGGUGAAAUGCGCAGAUAUCAGGAGGAACACCGGAUGGCAAGGCGGUGUCUGGGCCAACUGACUCUGAGGAAGCGAAAGCUGGGGGAGCGAACAGG